Molecule: ribosomal RNA, 335 nt
Filed under: unidentified marine eubacterium
Lineage: Bacteria
Description: bacterial SSU rRNA
Rfam family: Bacterial small subunit ribosomal RNA
Source: RNAcentral
GGACGCAGUGACAGGUGCUGCAUGGCUGUCGUCAGCUCGUGUCGUGGAUAGUUCGGUUAAGUCCGGCAACGAGCGCAACCCACAUCCCUAGUUGCCAGCAGUUCGGCUGGGCACUCUAUGGAAACUGCCCUAGAUAAGCGGGAGGAAGGUGUGGAUGACGUCAAGUCCUCAUGGCCUUACGGGUUGGGCUACACACGUGCUACAAUGGUAGUGACAAUGGGUUAAUCCCAAAAAGCUAUCUCAGUUCGGAUUGUCGUCUGCAACUCGACGGCAUGAAGUCGGAAUCGCUAGUAAUCGCGUAACAGCAUGACGCGGUGAAUACGUUCCCGGGCCUU